Molecule: long non-coding RNA, 38553 nt
Filed under: Malus domestica (apple)
Lineage: Eukaryota; Viridiplantae; Streptophyta; Magnoliopsida; Rosales; Rosaceae
Description: long non-coding RNA (MDOM_LNC016070)
Rfam family: tRNA (bases 24950-25023)
Source: RNAcentral
UUUUUUUUUUUUUUUUUUUUGGUUUCCAAAGAAGAUAAAAUAACUAUUUGACAAGGAGGAUAAAAUAUAACUUGAAAACUAAGGGUGGGAUAGCAAUUUUGAUCUACCCACUUCCUCUAUCCCACACCCUAAUUUUUUAUCUCCUCAUUUCUCCAUACUCUCAUGCAGUAAUAAACUCACAUACUACACUUAAAAAAAAACUCACAUACUACAGUUUUUUUAUAGAGUAAAAUCGUCAUAAUUAUACGCAUAGAUAUGCAUUACGUGGGUAAAUGAUACACAAUGAUUAGAUUAGAGUGAUGAAGUAUUGCUAUCAUCUUCAUGAACCUUAUUUAAUUAAAAUUAAAACCAAUAAUCAUAUAUCAAAAUGUGUUGAAAAUAGACGAGUGUGGUUCACUUGUCAAAUUAAGUUUGAACAAUGUAUGCUUUACCAAACUUAGAGCAUACGCAUAAUAAAGUUCAUCUCCUUUUACCUUAUUUUCUUUGUCGUUUUUUCUACUUUUUACAAUAAUAAAUCACAUAUGCUUAUCUGAAAUGACUUAAUUUUCCCCAAAAACAAUAGCAGUAACUUAGAAGAGCAUCUUUAAAAGAAGCUCUAAAUUUUUGUUAAACUAGUAAGUAAACAGAGUUAAAAACUAUUUUAUUUACUCAAUUUAACUUUUCAUAUCUGACAACACUUUCUAUUCUAACAAGCUUUGAAUAUUUUAUUAUUAACAAUUCAAACUCAAUUCACUCAUUUUCUAAAACAGUUUUUAUACUCUUCAUUUUCUCCUUACUCAGGAGUCCACUCUUGAGUUUUAUUAUUCUUUAAUAUUUAACUUAUGAACAAUUGCUUUGUAAAUUUAACAAGUGACUAUUCAUUUUAAUGUCAUAGAAACUCUUUUACCAAGCUUGUUAGAGAUGUAUUUUUUUUUUUCUAAAUUCAACUCUUAGAAUAAAAUUUUGGUUGUUUUACCGCAUCUAUUGGAGAUGCUCCAAGUAGCAGCCGCGUACCCUAAAUUUGACAGAUUUAAAACUUUUUUCAGUCGAUGAAUACAAUUAGUUUUGAUUUGGAAGGCAUAGCUAUUGGUUAAGCCUAGAGGUUAAACAUGUGGUCCAAACAAAUCAUGGUCCAUAUCAAAAACCUUUGACGUGGAGGUGUUAUGUCCUCCCAUACCAAACGCAAUAAUCACACUGUUAUCCUUAAUAAAAUCACUCUUAUUUAUUAUGGAGGAUAAUAUUGUUACUCAAAUUUAAUUCUAUUUCCUCAAUUACUUAAUCAUCCAAAGGCCAAAGCUUUUGAGAGGGAGGGAGAGAGAGAUUGAUACCUAAAUCUUUUUAAUUGAUAUAAAAACUGCUUGAGCCUCAAGCAAGCACAUCGUUUCAACCAAAAUUCAUAAUAUAAAAUAAUAAAUAGACCUUUUAUUGUUAAAGAGAAACCGUUGCCUGCUUCAGGUUGUAUUUCAGGGCAUUUUAUAUUUUGGUAUAUCUAAUUGUCAAAAUCCUUUGUCAAGAACUGCUAACUUUGAAAAUUAUUGAGUAUAGAAUACUUCGGAACGUUAUAAUAUUUUUAUUCUUUUGAGCAAUUGAUGAUUAACAAGAUUUAUUUGUGAGUGAAAGAAAAAUUUACAUAAAAUAAAUUUAUUGUCACGUUCAUUUUAUGUAAAUUGAUUUCUCAUGAUACAGUAGGAAUGCACUAUGCAUUUUGUUAGAAGGAUGAAUGUCAGGACUGGGGACCCCGGAGACCCACAAGUCAUUUCACAAGAUUUAUGGAGAUAACAAUUGGGUACGUGGGGCAAUUGGAUCGAUGGUUACCAUCAACCCUACGAAAGCUUCGAAAUUUUUUUGAAUCGUCCACUUGUGGGUUUGUUGGACUCCAUAUAAUCGCCUGCCGUAAAACAUUAGGGUUCCUCCUAGAAGUGGGUUGACUCAAAACUCGGGUUUUUUACACAUUCCGCAGGCUAGGUCAAUUAGCAAGAUCAUAGAACACAUAACUUGAUGAUUAGAUUUCUUGUUUAAAUUAUUAAAGAUGAUAUUCAAUCAUCAACCGUUACAUUCUAUGAUCUACAAAAUAUCGCAUGAAGUAUUAUCAGUAACAUUUUACUUAUUGUUCAUCUUGUUGUCAUUAAAGUUUGACACUUAGCACUAAAGUUUAGUGCUACUCUAUUUAUAAGUUGGAAGUCCUCGAUUCGACUUUCAUUGAUAAUGAGUUUGACACCAAAUUAUUGUAGCUAAUUUAUCAUGUGCUGAGCAAAAAUUCUCUACUCCUAAGUGUAAAUUGGUAGUUGUAUUAAAAAAGAAAUUUUUGUGAAGUUUAACUUGAAAAUUUACCUAAAAAUAUUUAGAAAUUCAGAGGGAAUAUCUGCGUUAUGAUUUCAUGGUUGAAUUAAAAAAUAAAUAAAAUAAAUAAAAAGUAGGGGUCUAACCUCCAUAUCCAAAAUUUGCAAUGUCUCAUCUCGAGUGGUUGCGGUUUCAUCGUCGUCAUAAAGUUGAGAACAGUACCCCUCACAGUCCCUUAUUUUGGCUCCACCGGCCGGUUCUAUUAUUUUAUCAUAUUACAAAUCUCAGAUCAAUUAUUAUCUGCCUAAAUUAAUAUUAAUUCUUUUUAUGAAUUAAUUAAAUAGAAGGUAACAAAUCUUUGAAUCGUUGGUUCUCUAUGGGUGCGUUUGGUACGCAGACGGGACGGGACAGGACGGAACGAAUGUGUAAUUUUUGAAAAAGACAUGGGGUAUAUUUGUCUUAAAAUAGUAAAACAUUGUGUUCCACAGACGUGGAACAAACCCGUUCCAGAGGGGGGAGGUGGAACGCAAAAACACCAAAAAUGUUCCACCCAUUUUUGGCGCACCAAACGCGGGACGGAACGCCUCGUCCCGUUCCGUCCCGUCCCGUCCCACGUACCAAACGCACCCUAUAUGAUGUCUGUAGCAUAUAGGGCGGGAUGGGUCCAAGCUAACAAGAUCCCCGGCACAACUGAUGGAGAAAGCUUCUUGCUCAAACCUACCCUAAAAAGGGUUAAAUCUUCUAUAUUUUAAUCUCAUCCGAUUCCACGCAAACAUCGAUUCAACUUGAGAGCUUCCUUAGUAAACAGUAAGGUUGUCAUAUCGAUGAUUUGCUCCUACCCAGGACCCGGAAAGCUAUUCAAGUUGCAUGCGUGUGCACUUGAUUACGUUGCAUUUUGUUAAACUUUGAAUAAAAGAAACGAUUGACUCGCUAAAAGCCUACAUGAAUACUUCAAAAGUCCAGAAUCACCUCCAACCUUUAGAUAAAGUAACAUCACAAAUUCAGAAUUCACCAAACAAAACACCAAAAUCCAGCUCAAUCUAUACAAAAUACAUCAUAUGACGGAUGGAUUUUUAUAUAUUUUUUCGGUACAAGUAAUAUAUUAAUUGAAACAAACAAGAUAUAUACCACGUUUCUUGGAUUUGGAACUUUGUCUUGAUUUAUUUUAGUCAUUGUCAUGCAUGACUCAUAACCUACGCCAAUAACGCGCCUUUUUUUUUAUCAUGUAUUAAUCUGCAAGCCAGUAUGUCAUGUAUAAAUGAUAUAAUAUGCAUCAUUUUACGGUUUUAAACAGUUUAGAUUAAACAUUAAAAAAGUUAAACGGAUGGAUUAGAUAAUUCAGGUGGGAAUUGGAUCCCAUUUGGAUCCACUUUGUGGGGAUCCUAGGGAUCUAGACAUCUUAGUUAUUUAUCUUAUAUUGUGCGAUCAGAAAUCAUUUGACUUUUUUUUUUUUUAAAAUUAAACACAAAUAGUAUCUGACGAAAACUAGCAACAUAAUAUACGAUGAACGGUUAGGAUGUAAGGAUCCCUAAGUUCCUCACAAAGUGGAUCCGAAGGUGAUCAUCUUCCAUUCAGGUGCACCAUAAUUAGCAUAAUCUUCUUAUUAUAAUAGUAUGGAAUAUAAAUUUAAAAGGUACCAAUCAAAUCGUUAUGAGAUUAAUGUAUGCAAAUCAUGAUUUCAUGAGGCUCAAUAUAUAUCAUUUUCAUAAUCUCCAAAGGAUCUGCAUCUGUAUUCUCUGCAGCACUAGCACUGCCCAAAUUAAUGUGAUUAAGACCAACUUUUUCUCUUUUUUUUUUCUUUUUUUUUUUUAAAUUUUCAAACAAAGAACGAUUUGGGUUCCGAUCGACUAAACAGAAACAUAACGUUUGGAAGUUCGGCCAAGUACUUCCUGAUGGGUUUUAAUUAUUUUUUUUCGUCGCUGGUGAUCGUUGGUUAAUUAUGUAGGAAAUUAUAUGAUAAAGACUCAAAGUUUUGUUAUCAAAUUUUCAAGGAGCACUUUCCACGAGUUUCUUUCUACUUUUGGUUUACCCUCGCUCUAAAGAAGUUUAUAUUGACUGGGGAGGAAUAUUGUUGUAAGCAAUUUCAUAUUUAUCAGAUAAAUGUAAGCAAUUUCAGAUACAUGUAAGAAAAAGAUCCAGAUCACUUUAUUACAAGCAUAAAUAUUACAUAACAAGCAUAAAUAUCACACAAAGAAUUAGGUCAAGGGCAUUAUCCCAAUAACCAGAAGCAUUGAACCCCAGUAGCGGCAAAUGCCAUGAUUUUAGCUUAAGAAACCAUUUUGUACUGUUCCCUUUGCAAAACCCUAGCACUGAAAGGGACACACACAACCAUUUGGACCAAAAGAUAUAUGUUCUGUGGAAUCUUAACGGCUCACACAAAUAUAUGCAUAUCGGAAGUGAAAUAUACCAAAUAAUAUGUAUAUGCAUGAACCAAAUAUUGCUAGCUAGCUUUCAUGCACAAAUAAUUGUUGGAGAUCGAGUGUCCCCCUUUUUAACUUUAGCUUUAUACAUUAUUUAUAAUAUAUCUUAUAGAAUCAUUUUUUUAUUAAGUGGUGUUGCUUUAUAAUGUAAAUAACUUUGUUUAUGUGCUGUAAUCUAUGAAAGAAAAAAACUUAUCUCAAAUUGAAACUUUUCAUGAACUCUCGAUCAUUUUAUAAUUUGACGUUAAUUCUUAUAUUAACAUUAUAAAAUAUUAUAUUAAAAACAUGAAGUGACAAAGAAUACAUAAAAAAUCUUACUUUUAACAUAAUUUCUUUAAAAUUUCUCUCUUUAAUAUUAAGGAGGGGCCACCUCACAAAAGUUCUUUAUGGCCUUUGCUUUUUUAUUUUCCUUCAAUGUAUGAGUUGAAUUGGCAUUAGAAAGAGCCUGCCGAUUACUUAACCACUUCAAUCACAUCAUACGAUUAAGAGACCCAGACAGAGAAAACAAAAAUGUUUAAACUGUGUAAAAAAUAAAUAUUAAAGAUUUAAAUAUGUAUACAUACAGAUAUGCUAUUGCCUCUCAUUCUGCAGCUUAAUAUUAAAAAACUCACAACUGUAUAAAUGGCUUGAAAAGUCGUGCACUUCAUGAUGUAGCUAGCUAACAAACUAGGGCAGAACAAACACAUUUGUGAACUAUAAUGCUAGGGCAUGCAAGUCCAACUUCAUAGAUGUUUUUCCCGCGUUAAUCAUCUUACAUCAAUGUCACAAUAUGCAUCUGCAAUUUAUGCUUAGGGUUUUUGGAGUAGUUUUUCCUUUCUUUUUUUCUUUCAACUGUGCAUAAGAGCAUGAUAUGCUUCAGAACUUUAUCGUUAAUUUGUUUCUUUGGACUCUUCGACCAACUAGAUGAAGAAAAGAUAUUGGCAUGCACCUAAGCAUUGUAGAAUUUUUAGAUUGGUUAUAGAGAUGGACCAGAUCAAUUUUACAAACUAAGACAUCAGUUGCAGUAGGCCAGUAACCAAGGGCGGAGCCAAUUAAGGCUUAGAAGGGUCAUCUUGACAUGCCUGACCCUGCUAUUCCCAAAUACCAGGGUAGGCACAUGUUGGCCGGCACCCAAAGGUGACGAAGCCAUACUAUAAUGCAUGUGAACCAAUGAAUAUAAAUAAGACAUAUAAAUUUAAAUGUAAUUAAUAUGCAAAUUAGGAACGUGUUCAGAGCAUACAACUAACCCUAGACACUAAAAAGGAAUAACACAAAAUUGAAUGAACAAAGAGAUGGGUUCUACACCGACAGGACUUGAAGAUGCCGAUGUGGGAGUGCCUUGACACUAGGGUUGUACGCCUUGAAUCUAAGUCCUAAGGGGGCACAAAACAAACAUAAGUGGACUAAGUUUAUAUAUAUAUAUAUAUAUAUAUAUAUAUAUAUAUAUAUAUAUAAAAUACUGAAACAAUUAUUCAAUAACGUACUAACCCCCAAAGUUUUAUGAAAACUAAUAGCAUAAUAUGUGAUAGGUUUUCCGAAACCCUAGCAUGCCAUAAAAACUUUCAUAAAACAUAUAUUGUAUAUAGUGUGCUAACAAGUGGUAUCAGUAUCGCCUGAAGACAUACAAAACUCUUCCUUUAUAACAUUUCCUUCACAAGUAUCAAUCACCCGUAGGCUCCUACAGCACCCCACCCGUAGGUCAAUAUAAGUAUCAUCGCCCGUAGGCUCCUACAACACCCAACCCAUAGGUCAAUAUAAGUAUCAUUGCCCGUAGACAGAAUAGUGACCACUAAAUACACACAAAACCUUGAAUAUACUCAUUCCAAACAUUAGUACAUAUAUCUCAAAAUCAUCUUCAUAGCAUAUAGUUAUCUAUCAUACAUACUAUAAAGAAGUGUAAAGAAAACAUGUUCAUAAAUAGUAUAUAGUCAUCCAUCAUAUAUACUACAAAGAACAUAAGUUCGAUAAAAUAUGGUAUUCCAAAAUAUUCGCAGUAAAGCAUGAUAUAUCAUAAGUGUAAAUCUAAUUUACUCAUAAAACAUUUCAAAACGUAACCAUUAAAUCAUGUUUUUCAUGUAAGCAUUUCUACUAUUAAAACAAGCAUUUUAGAAGGGGUCCACUCAUAGAUACUCUGUCGUCGAAAAGCCAUGCAAACUAGCGAAGACGGAAAUGCCACAAUAAAUGCACCUUGCAAGAUGGCUAACUAGCCGUGGUUUGGCCGAAAAUUGCCUUGAAAGUGGCGGAGGUCGCCGGAAACUUUGGUUUCCCAAAUAGUGGGCGGAGUUGGUUGCAAAAUCGGAUCAAAAGUCGUCGGACUCGCCGGAAUAACUGGGUUCCUCUAGUCCCGAGUUACGUUGUCACUAAAAAAUGGUGGUUCCAUCGAUGCCAAGUGUUUUGAUGAGGGUGUGGUCACCCGUUGUAGGUGUGUAAUGGGUGUGUACUGGUCCUUGGGGAAGAGAGAGGGCUAAGGGAUCCGAGAGAGAGAGAGAGAGCACGGGAAAGUUGAGAGAGAGAGAGAGAGAAGAGUAGGCCGAGGGGACAAAAUCCAAAGGUGGGACCCUUGGGCAGACCUAUUAAGGCCCUAAAAACAAUAUUUUAAACCAAAUAUCCCACAACCCAAAAGAAUUUACCAAAAAUACCCUUCUGUUCUGUAAAAUUCGGGACGGAUUGUCACACAUCUUUUGCAUCAUUGUGGCAUUGUAGUGUUUCUCCUCAUAUUUUGCUAUGUUUGUUUUGCUUUGACCCUUCUCGCCCUGGUAAUUAUUGAAUUCCUUACUAAUGUUGUUUGGCUUUUAGUUAAAGUAGGUCAUAUACAUAUAAUAAUUUUGGGAAUGAUAAUUAUCCGUCUACUACAUAGAAAUUUAUUAUAAACAGCUAAUGAGAAAUAGUGAAACACUAAAAAGACAAACAAUAGAGAUACUUCAUAAUUAGAAUGAAUUAGAGAUUAUGUAUUAGUAUUUACGAUAAAUACUGAUUAUGGAUAUGUACUUUCUUUCUAUUUUGAUGAACAAUUAAUGAGUUCAAUUUGUUUAGACUGAUUAUUUUCAACUGAAAAUGAGAGGUUUUAUAUUCGACUCUCAUUAUGUGACUCAAUCAAAUCCCUCCCCUCAUUGUGUAAAUAAAAUAUCAUUGUAUAAAAAAUAGAUCUUAUACUCAUAUAAAAUUUGACCCUCGUAACAAAAUCUCUGACUCCGCCACUAGUAACCAUUGCAUUAUUAAAGUAGGAGCAAUACUAUAGUUUUUCUCUAUUUAAAGGUGGUGGUGUGUUGUUGGCCUAGGAACUCUAGGUGAUAGGUUAAUUUAUCAUUUGCGUGACAAGGACAAAGAAAUCGAAUGAGUUCCAAAACAACUUUUAUUAAAAGAAUCAUAUUCCAAUCGAGGCGUUUUUCAUAAAUUAUGUUAUCUCACAUUGUUAGGCGGCCAGUUCCAAAUUCCAAUCCACUUUAAAUGGUGAAGACAUUUCUCCUUAGGAAUCUCAUCGAUGGGGAUCCUCCCAACAACUAAAAAAAAUAUGGUUAAUGGAGAAAAUGGCAAGCUAGUUAACUUUUGAGUUUUGAACUUUAGUUGAAAAUAGUAAGCUAAUUAUUAACUCGGGCAAAUUAAACCAAUUUAUUGGUAAAAGAGUUCCUUUAGAAAGGUAAUUUUAAAGGUGCAUGGGAAAGAGAGGGAAUACCUUUUAAAUUAAGUUGAAGGAGGAGGACCCUAAACUAGGAUUCGGAAUAUUGUGCUUUGAGUUGGAUUCAAAAGUGAUUGCCUUCCUCAAAAAUGGCACUUGAUAGGGCCAUUAUUCUUUUUUAAAGGAGCUAGGGUUAAGAGGAACAUUAUCUUCACAAUGAGAGAGAGCUACCUCACUAUAUAUAUAUAUAUAUAUAAGCGUUAACCAAUUAAUAUAUUAAUGUGACGCUAAUUGCUGAUCUGAAUUUGCUCCACAACCUAGCUAUAUAAAGCUUAGCUAUUUACUUUUCAAUCUACUGUAAAACAACAGGUUCAAUCUUCCAUAUGUCCCUCGCGUAUUCAUGAAUUGUACGGUCACUGCUGAACUUGUACGAACCAGCUGUGUUCAAAAUCGACUUCCUCGUCCAUCUCUGCACCAUGUUCGUGUACAUUUACAAGGAAGUUAAUGUUCAACGAGAAAAGAAGCAAUAUGAAUUAAUUGUUCAAAUAAUAUAUACAAUCACCUUUUGGUCUCGAUAUGCUUCAUCAACCUUGUCUUGGCACUCAAGGUAACUAGGGAAGUCCUUGCCAACGAGAAAGUAAUCAGCACGACCAUAACCUUCAUUUCCUUCCAAUGAUCCCAUGAGUUCAUCAUAGUUGUAAGGACCAAACACGCCGGUUCUCACAUAUGCCUUCACUUCUUCGAACCGCGGGUCCGGAACGAACUGCAUUACAUGUUAAUUAGGUCUAAUAGUUUGUUAACUGAGUGAUUAGUAAAAAACUAAUCAUAUAUUCUACCUUUCCUUCAGAUCUUUCUUUCCUUAGCCCGGCAAUUUCAUGAGCAUGUGCACCAAAGAGGAAAAAAUUGUCCUCUCCAACCUCUUCUCUUAUUUCGACAUUUGCCCCAUCUAGGGUUCCAAUUUGUACGCAACCAUUCAUUGCAAAUUUCAUGUUGCUAGUUCCACUCGCCUCCAUUCCAGCAGUGCUGAGAGAGCCACAGAAUUAGUACCAUAUUACCAUUAUUUAUGAUUAUGCGAAGUUUAGAAACGUUUUCAGACAACCAGAAGCACUUUCAUGAACGUUUGACAGAAAAAAGUUUAAAGUACUUGGGUUAUGGUGCUUUCUAUGAGAAGCACCUAUCAAGCGCUUCCUUGAAAAGUGCUUCCAAAUGCACUUGAAUUUUUCUUAAGAACUUUGUUAUGCUUCUAGUAAAAGCGCUUAUGAGCAUAAGUGCUUUCUGUAACAGCAUUCCCAAACAGGCCAGAAGUUUAUGAGACCAAAUGAUAACUUGUAAUUGAAGCAAUUGUGCAGAAAUGAAUCUAGAAACCUGAUAUGCUGGGAGAGCUCACUACCGGGAAUAAGCACUUCAGCAACACUGACAUUGUAGUCAGGAACAAACACAACCUGUGGUUAAAACAUCGAAGACAUAUACACUUCACUCAAAAUUAUUGACAAGAAUGGACAUGGUGAAGCAGCUGAUAAUUUCUAUGAGCCAAAAACAUACCUUCAAAAGGUCACCUAUGUCUCGAUCGUUAUUCACAGUGGCUCCAACAUCUGUGAUAAAUUUCACAAUCCUUUUCGCUUGGAUAUAGGUUGCGAAUGCCUUUCCUCCAAAUAUACACACCCUUGGAACAAACUUUGCUUUUCUUUCCUCAGGACUCAUUUCCUUCAUUUUCUUGUAGCGAUAAAUGAUACCCAGGAUGUUCAAUAGCUGCCGUUUGUAUUCAUGAAUGCGCUUCACCUGAUAUUAUAUAUAAGUUUAGUUGAAAAACAGGACCAGAGGAAACAGGGGAAAUAUUUGUAGGAUCAGAAAUUUACUUGCACAUCAAACAUUGCGUCAGGGUUGACUAGAAAACCAGUUUUUUCCUUGAGGAAGGAUGCAACCUUAAUCUUGUUUCUCCUUUUCGCUUCCCUCCAUUCGGAUUGGAGAUCUUCAUUAUCAGCAAACUGUUAAGAAGUUACACAAUGUGUAAAAGGAGACCAUAUAGAACAAGCAAAAAAUUUCGGUACAUUUGGGUGAUGCAGGUAGUUUGCACAAUGCCGAUACAACUUGCUAUCAUCUUACACAAAAGUGAGAUUUAUAAAUAUCGAAAUUCAUAUAUUGAAGCGAAGAAAAAGACCAGCAGAUAUGUAUUCAAUGACUUGCAGGUUAGCUAGGUAUGACAUCUUACCUUCCGAAGGGUGACCAACAUGUUAGUAUUUCUCACCCAAUCGUCUGUUCCAAUCCAUUUGGUUAUAAUUUUACUCAGACCUGGAUUGCAGAAACGAAUCCAUCUUCUCGGUGUCACCCCAUUUGUCUUGUUUUGAAAUUUCUCAGGCCACAACUGCCAGAGGUAUUAAUAUUAUGUGAAAAACAGUGGACAAAAAAUAUGCACAUACUAAAUGGACGUCAGUAACACUUCCAAGUUUUGUUAUAGGGUUUAUACCUUAUAGAAAUCGUUAAAUACUUCGUUCUUCACUAUUUCGCUGUGAAUCUCAGCAACGCCGUUUACUGCAUGUCCACCAGCAAUGCAUAGAUUAGCCAUUCUCACCGUCUUUGGAAGUUUAGGAUCCGGUUCAAAUGUAACCUCAUUUUUUGUAUUAGUGUCUAGUCCUUUAGAUUGACCUACUUCAUCAGUGGUUUUAGCUUCUUCAUCAGAAAAAUCAACUUCCUCAACGUGAUCAACUGCAGAACUUUCUUCUGAUUUACAGAGAAUUCCAAUGACUGAAUCAGGCAAAUCGAUAUUAUCAAGAAUUCUCAUUUCUCUCAGUUUUUGUUCCAACAAGUUAAGAUCUUCUGUGCCGUACUCAGCAAUAAUGGUAUGAAUUAGCUGGUCAAGAAAUCGAAUAUGUUACAUACUACAGUAGAAAGUAAAGAAUGAAUCUUUUGCUCAUUAAAAGAAUUUUUAUCGCACAACGCUGAAUAUUACCUCCUCAUCAAUCGUUUUUAUGAUCUCAACGUGUCGAGGAAGUAAUUCCUGUAUGAGCUGCAAACUCCAUUUCUCCAAUGCCUCAGGUAACACUGUAUGAUUAGUGUAUGCAACAGUUCUGGCAAGAUAAUCGACGAAUGAAAAAACAUUCGCUUAUAUAUAAUUAUACAUGUAAGGAAAACACUCCAAGUCACACGGAAUGCGCCAACUUGAAGCUAAAUAACUAAUCAAAAUAUCGAGAAGGGAAGUACCUUCGAGUAAUGUCCCAGGCUUCCGUCCAGCUCAAGCCCUUAACGUCCAUCAAUAUCCUUAUCAACUCUGGGAUGCAGAGAGUUGGAUGAGUAUCAUUCAUCUGCACUGCAACCUUCUCAGGAAACUCCUCCCAUUUCACAGACUCCCCCGAUCUUCUCUCAAACCGCGCAACUAUAUCUUGGAGAGAAGCAGAACACAAUGUGUACUGUUGCUUUAACCGAAGUGAUUUUCCCUCCAUGGAUUCAUCCCCAGGGUACAAUAUAUAACAGAUCUAAUGAAGAUGAAAAGAUUAAAGUAACACAACAAUGCAGAUUUGGAAGAAUAAGUGUAACAACUAUGAUGAAAUCAUACAAACCUUUUCGGCAUUCUUUAAAGCUGCAUACGCCUUGGCAUGAUCUCCAGUGUUGAAAGCAUGUAAAUCAAACUCUUCCGGUGCUACUUUUGUGGACCAAAGUCGAAGGUUUAUGGUGGUUUUAGUUUUAUAUCCCGGUAUGGGGACAUCGUAGGCAACCGCCAUGACAUUUUCGCCUCCAAUCCAUGUUUUUUUUCCAUCUAGCCCUGAAACAACUUCGCCGUAGAAUUUCACAGGAUAGCUCACAUCAUUUCUUGGAAUUUCCCACGGAUUUCCCAUCUGAUAAGGGAAAGUGUUCUUAAUGAACAAAAUUCAGUGAAUGACUUUUAACAGAACAGGAAAAAGUAAGUCUCAAUGAUCAAACCUCCAGCCAAUUUUCAGCAACUUCCUCCUGCCCAUCUUUUGUAAUGUGCUGUUUAAAUAAGCCAUACUUGUAUCUGAGUCCGUAUCCCCAUGCCGGGUAAUUUUGAGUGGCCAGGGAGUCCAAAAAGCAGGAAGCAAGCCUCCCCAACCCGCCAUUUCCAAGCGCAGCAUCCGGUUCCUGUCAAUUAACAACACAAAUUUUAGAGACUGCCAAAGUAACCAGACAAUAUUAAGUAAGUCCAUUCGAAGGAAUGCUCAACGGAAAUCGCAGUAAAGUUAAUCUAAUGGUCAGGGCAUCUGACCUGCCUAGCUACAUCCUCUAGAUUGUGCCCUAGCGUUUUCAAGGCAUGUGCAUAAGCCCCCGAAAGCUCCAAGUUACCAAUGGCAUUCAGCAAUGCUCUUCCCUGCAACAAUUUUAAAACAUAACAGAUGAGACCUCCUUAUGCUCAACAAGCAAUGUAUACAAAAUAGAGGUUAUUUUCGGCAUCAGGACAAAAAGAGAAGCUCAUGGCAAACCUGUAGAAACUCCAUUGAGAGAUAAUAUGCCUGCUUUACAUUCAGCCUGUCAUGGUACUCAUAUGUAGCGUUCCAAUUAACAAUGAGCAUGUCACGAACACUUUCAGCGGUACCGUAGAAUGCCUUGGGAAGCGCGAAAGAUUCGAUAGAGAAAGAGGGUGUGAAUUCGGCAUGGUAUUUGAUAUUCGAUGCAAUGAAUGAAGAAUCAGGAGGAAUUGUAGCCAAACUGCCUGAACCAUUUGAUCAAAUCAAAUAACAACUUAAUCAAGUCGAUAUAAAUGAGUGAAUAUAAAGAUUUUUGGACGUGGUAAAUGCCCAAAUUAUUGAAAGUGCUUUAGACAGCAUAGAAAAAGUUGAAUGUGCUUCUGGGUUAGCAAAAUACAUGGAAGAGAGAAUUUCAACUUGCUUUUAAGAAAACGCUUUUGAGCUGAAGUGCUUUCUAGAGAAGCAUUUUUAUACACACAACGAUUGGCCUCCUAGAAAAAAUUCAGUGACAGGACAAUGAAAUCUUCAAAGUGAGAUUGUGAUAAACCACCUUGACUUAAAAUUGAUAUAGCAAAGUAAAUUCCCACCUCAGCUGAGAUGGGUAGAAAGUGCUUAUGCAUUUGACUAUGAAAGCAUCAAAUCUUUUCACUUUUAUGAAAAAAGCACGUUGCAACCAAAACUCUAAAUCAAAAGGAAACAAAUUUAACCAAACCUUGUUGGGUUUGACUGGCGACAUCUUUCUCAUCAGUCUCCACGUUCUUCACACGAAGCUGCCUCCUUGCUCGGCUGCGGGAACAAGUGGUUGUUGUGAUAAAAAACGGUCUCGAGUUUCUUCUUAUGCGGUUGGAGUGUAUGAAGCUUGAGACGAACUUUGACGGUGUUGAUUUCGCGGAGAAUGGUAAUGCCGCCAUUGCUUUCUCAGUAUCCCUCUGAGAAAGUUAGUAGCAGAGCAAGGAGAAAAUGAGUGAAAGAAAACGUGUUGCCUUUUGUCUGCUUAUCUUCCUCAUGUUUGAGACGAGGGAAAUGCUUUGAUUCGUCGUUUUCCAACGUCUCCACUAUUACUUAGUUUACCACAUUAUUCUUUUUUCAAUUAAUUGGCUUUAAUUCAAUUAAUGAAUUUUUUUUGGUCUUGCUCCAUGUGCUUUUCAUCCUAAAAAAGUUUACGAGGAGGGGAGCUAUCCCAUUUUAGAAUCAGAGUAAAUCACAAACUUCUUCGAGAAUUUAUAAGGAGUUUUAGUUCAUUUUUUUAGUUUUUAUAGAUUGCCAGUGAAAGAGAUUGCUGGUAGUAGGACUCGAACUUAAGCUUUGAUUUAACGAAAAGAACGAUUCUUACUAACUCAACUAACUCUCGUUGGCAUUAUUCACUUAAUUGAAAAUUUGGCACACUUAUUUGCAUGAUAUUGUUCCUGCAUUUCCUUGAAAUUUCUUGAAAAGUAUGUGAAGGUUUUGGUCUCACUAUUAGCCAAGACAAGUGGGCCGUUCCGUUAUCCUAACAACUUACCCUACCAUGCAAGCAACUAUCACCUUCUUUUGGUGACUCUUUGCCCUCCAAAUUGCAACUAGCCACUUUGAUUUUGUUAAUUUGUUGUUUUUUAUUUGGCUGAGAAUUUGAUCUUUGUUUGUUGCUAAUUCAUUUUCCAAAUCAUCAUUUUCUAUAAAUUUUGUUGUUCAUCCAUUCCUCGCAAGUUUUUUAGUGUGAUGUCUCAUGUCACGUUGUAUUACUAAUCCAAUUGUUAUAUAUGAGUCAACAACUUGAAUGAUAUUUCAUAGGAUUAAGUUAUAUAAUGAUAAACAUAUACACAUAUUAUAACAUGAGAGCUGUAAAAACAUCAUAUCACAGUUUGAUGAUCACACUGAAAAAGUAAUCAUAGGACAAAAGAUUGGUCUCUAACAAAUUUAGAAUGAACCAACUACCAACCAAUUUAUUGGUAUUCUCGUCUACAAUGUUCAAGUCUCAAUCUCAAACCCACUCUCAUAAUGAGGAGAAAAUUUUCAGUCUAUUCGGAACACUGAACAGUAAAUCACAUCUUAUUAUACAAUUGAAAAAAAUUUCUUUCGAAUGUUUCUUAAAUUGUAUAAUAACAUAUAGCAUUCUGCUUUAUAUUGUCAGCAUACUGUAAAAAGGUUGCACUGUUAGAAAUUCUAGAAUGGAAUAAAGGUUUGGGCCACCAAUGACCCUCUCUAACCCAAAAUCAGACCCAAUGGAAAAGGACCAUUUUGGGAUUUUAUUAACCCAACAAGAAGCCUGCAAAUUGCCAAUGGACCACAGUGACAGGUGGCCAUCUGCUUCACCCACGUGGCACCACGUGGCAUGCAUACACGUCUUGACAAUAAUCCUUUAUUUAUCCACAAAAAUAAUACAAAACUGAGGAAAUUUGAGGAGGGAAGAAGGUAAAUCCCUCCCAACGGUCUCUCAAAGUUGGACCUUGGAUUCGGAGGAGGUUAGAGCCGUCCAGUUCUUCUGCUUUUGCGCGGCGUUUUUUUCUCUGAUUUUUUUUCUCACAGCCACAGACACAGAAAAUAAAUACUUCUCCACAGAAAACUCUUUGUUUCUCUCCAAUUUCUUCUCAAAUUCCUCUUUUCGUUUCAAGCACAAGCUAAAUCGUAAUCCAAAAACCGUAGUGGUUUGUUUACGAAACACUGCCAAGUUUCGGAUUUUAUCGAAAUUUCUAGGUACAUUUUUUGGUCUUGAUCACAUCGCAUGUGGUAAUUUUUGGUGAUCAACUAUUGAGCUUUUCGUUUUUGUUAUUGAAUUUAGUGGAAUGUUGCAAUGUGGUAUGAAAAUGUAGGCCAAGUGAAGAAUGUGGUAUUAGAAAGAAAUUGGGAAACCCUAGUUUUGAUCUUUUGUUUCUAAAUUUGUGGUCUUUUACAGACGUGAGUUAGGUUAGUUAGACAAUACAACAUGCUCACACGCUUGUAGUCGAGUUUGAUCCCCGUCUCAUAUAUUAAAAUGAUUUCUAGUAGUUUAGAACAUCGCUUAAAUACUUAAUUGCUAUUAGUUUAUGAAUUUUUUCUCAUCGUUUAACUUUUUUUCUGAGAUUGUAGGUACCGUAUUAGAAUCUUCACAAGGAUUCAAUCAAUUUCCUUUUGAUUUAGUGACUUUUGGUUAAAAUAAUUAAAAAAACCUUACCACUUAGACAACCAUUGGUUUCUUGCCAAAAUGUUUGGGUCAAAAAAAUCACCUGCAAAGAUUGCUCAAGCUGAUUCAGAUGCCGGGAAGAACGUGCUUAACCCCGCGAGAAGAACUUCUUCGGAGCCUAUGCUUGUCACCCCGGAUUUCAGCAACGAAAAAAAACCAUUAGAGCAGCAGAGUAUGCAAGAGUUAGAGAAAUAUGCCGUUAACAAGGCCGAGGAGACAACAAAGAGUGUCAACAACUGCCUCAGGAUUGCUGAGGACAUCAGAGGGGAUGCUACAAGGACACUUGACAUGUUGCACCAGCAGGGUGAGCAAAUUACAAGGACUCACAUGGCGGCUGUUGAUAUCGAUAAGGAUUUGAGUCGGGUAACGUCUCCUUGUUGUCAUGCUUGUAGUUAUUCCCAGACGAUUUAUAUUUUCUUGUGACACAAGAAACUAUAAAUCUUGAAGAGCAGCAUUUAGAUCUUAAUACCUAUUGAUGCAUUCUGAAAACAGGGUGAGAAGAUUUUAAACAAUCUUGGAGGCAUGUUCUCAAUGCCUUGGAAGCCGAAGAAGACCAAGGAUAUUUCGGGGCCUGAUUUUUCAUUAGGUUUGCUUCUGUUAUAAUCUGCUUGCUUCAUAUCCUAAUUCUUCAAAACCUCAUAAAGCUUAUUGCAUCUGUUGAUCAUGUUCAGCUGCACCCAAAAAAGCUGACCCACAGCAGAAGGAAAAGUUGGGUAUAGCUCCGAAAGGGCGGUCAGCUCCUGCAACGCCUCCUCCCGAAGGAUCAGGUGCCUUGCAAAAAGUCGAGGUAAGUGUUUGCGAUUACGAUUGUCAAGAAUAUGGCUACGUGCUCUCCAUAUUUACUUAUAUGGGACCGGUUUGUCAAUAUCAGCAUGAGAAGGCAAAGCAAGAAGAUGCUCUUUCAGACCUAAGCAAUAUAUUGGGGGAUCUGAAGGGUAUGGCUAUGGAUAUGGGAAGUGAAAUUGACAGGUUAAUAUCUUUGUUCUUCUCUGUAAACUUUCUUCACGAUUUCGUAUACAUGUUUGCAUUAUUGUUAAUAAUAUGGUAAAUGCAGGCAAAACAAAGCUAUUGAUAAUCUCUCUGACGAUGUUGAUGAGCUUAACUCUCGAGUGAAAGGUGCUAAUCAACGUACACGACGAUUGCUUGGGUGAAGACCAACAGCCUUACAAAUACCAGCAGCCUAACAUUAGUUACUGUAACUACAGAAAUCUUUUCCACUUUCGAUUGUAUAUAACUGGUCUCCCCCUAUUUGGGAUAUGCAUGCAAUAAAAGGAGCCUUUUUGUUCAGAUUUCACCAUACAGCUCUAAAUCACAAUAUAUAGUUCUGCAUUCCAAUUUUCUUCUCCUCCACUCCUCUUUUCUUCCUAACUUUUGGAUCGAAUAAAUCAAAUAAGAUCCCGGGACGGGACAGAAAUAAGGGGAUGAUGGCGGGAAGAGAAAACGGGAGUGAAAAUCACUACCGAUACCAACUGUGUGAAGAAAGUUUGAAUAUUUACAAACACUGCCAUCUGCAGUUGUACAACAGGCAAUCAGGAUGCCUUCCCGCUCACGUUUCCUCACUCGUCACAGGAGUCCAGUUAUUUCCUGGGACGGCCUUUUUCCUGGAAUAUGAAAUGUAACCCCCCAACAUAUCCUAUAAAAACCCCAAGCACCAACACGCUUGUUCCCUUCACAAACCAUGAGAAUGUACACUCCCCACUGCUCCUAAUAACUCCAGCACCACCACCGCUACCGAUAUCAACAGACUUGAUACCGCCUACACCAGCUCCACUACAGCCGAGAACUUGCCCCGACGCUAGAAUCUCAACCGUGUCGUGCACCUCCCCAUCAUGGUUUCCAACAUAAGUAAGUUUCUUCCUUGUGGCAACCAACCUAGUGUACCUAAAUUCACCCCUAAUGAUGCAAAAAUUGAAGAAAAUGGCGUAAAUCCUUAAGUCUCUGAACAAAUAAUGAGCAAAAAAAAAAAAAAGGAAAAGGAGUGGCUAUUUGAAAAUUUUCCGUCUUAUUUUGAACGAACAAGGAUUGUCUGCCCUCCACUUUCGGUGCCCUUUCCGUGCCCUUUUGUUUGUGUGGAUACAGUUAAGCCACGUCAACAUUUUAUAUUACUAUUCAUUUUUGUCUUAUUAUAUCUAUAAAAAAACAAUAUAAAAGGUUAACGUGGCUUAACCGUAACCACACAAAACAGGAGAGUACGGGAAGGACACCAGAAGUGAAGGGCAGACAAUCCUUGUCCAUUUUGAACAUGUCAGUGUACAAGAAAGAUAUAGGAGUAAGAGUAGACCAAAACAUAUUUAUGUGAAUCAUGUGACGAAGAUAAUAACAACACAUAUUUACUGACACACUUUAAAAUACAUAUAUGUUGAAUUUUACGUAUGUAAAUAGAAUUACUGAGAACAGUAAUUACCGAUUAAAAAAUAAAGACACAGAAAUGAGUUAAGUAUCCAAUCUAUUGGUGACUGGAGAUAAUGGAACGGAUAAUGAGUUGUGAAUUUGUGUUUGUGAGUUUUAACCACCACUCCACUCCAAUAGACAAUGUAUCUCGGUACAGAAGAUUUUUCAUUGUGUUGGGAACAUUGUCCAGUACCUCAUGUGUAAUAUUACAAUUAGGUAGAAAUUUAUAAAAAAAUAUUUCUAACCAAUUAUAUUAUAACACUCGAAACACUAAUUUGUGUCCCUAUGACACCAAAAAUUUUCUCCUCACACGGCAAUUGUAAUUAUAAAUUGGGGUAUUUUGAUAUGGGUCCAAAAUAGUUAAAAAUUAAACCUAUUUCAAAAGUCAAAAUUCAUUAAAAAUUGGACCUAUUUCAAAAGUAGCCUAUAAAAUGGGAUCUAUUUCAAAUUUUCCCUUAUAAAUUUAAGUCCUUCAUGUGCCUCUUGCGCCUUUCCUUUGCAUUAAACUCCUUUUAGUUUUACUACUACAAUUCCAUCACCAUCACCAUCACCAUCACCAUCAUCCUAAACACCUAAAAAGUUUCUCCCCUUCUAAACCAACCCCCCCUUCCCAUCUCUCUCUCUCUCUCUCUCUCUCUCUCUCUUCCCAAGAAUGACGAAGAGCUCUCUCUCUUCUUUUUCGUUUCUCUCCUCCACUUUCGGCCUCCGGCGGCGUUUUCUCAUGGCCGCGGCGGCAGUCUUCAUUUCACUACUUUUUGUCACAUCUGCUGCCGCACCCAUCUCUAACCCAAUCAAUGUUACGCCAAGAAACCCCCACCACCACCGUAAUUGCGAUCAUCCGACUUCAGUUUCGGAAUGGUCGAGUGCUCAGUUACGUUCUUUGUGCCUUGAACUCACCCACCACAGAAUAUUCCACGGCUACCUUCCCCUCUCGCCGCCGCCACUAUCCUCGUCGAGCCCCUCACAGCCGGCUCACGACGACCAUCAAGAUCAAGAUGGUCACCAGAUUGAUCCAAGAUACGGUGUCGAGAAGAGACUCGUCCCCUCCGGUCCCAACCCUCUUCACAAUUGAAAGUGCAAGUCCUGCACCCCAAGUAACGUCCUCAUCAAACAAAUUUCUGAAUAUUUUACCACGAACAUAUAAAUACUUAUCGUUCUUGAUCGGUUCUUGAGCGUUUCUUGGCAUCUUUCAUCACCAAAGUCGUUCUUGAGCGUUCCAGCAGCCAUAUUCGAGUCCGUUUUCCGUCUUCAUAACGAAAUGAUGAACGACGAUCAUGCAUCGGGACCGGUAUAAUAUUGCUAUCAAGGAGUUUAGCUAGUUCUUUAGUUCCUUAAUCCUCUUGCUAUAUUUAGUGCAUUAGUUUUCUUAAUGAAUUAGUACUCAUCGACGCAUGUACACGUUAUUUUCAUAUUUGUUUAUGAAUUAAUUAUCGCUAUCCCGAUAAUUUAAUGGGAAAUUAAUUCUCGUGGAAGCGGGAAAAACAAGCAAGGAAAUGGUCCCAGAUUUUCUUGAAUUGAUGUUCUUCAUGGGAUCGGAGGCGCCAGUUCAAAUUUGGGUGGGUGGGGGAGGAGAUAUCGUCAUCAUGUAAUUCAAAAGAUGCCUAUGAAUAUCAUAAAUAUACUUGAAGCUAUCGCUUUCUUUUUCGAGGUCAAAGUGGACAUUUUGCUUUCCAAAAUGUACCAUGUGGGUCCGAAUUUAAAAGUGAUCGUGUAUUUAUAUUAAGUUCAAGCUUUUUCUAUGAAUACGUGAAUUUAAUUUAGAGUUCUUGUUUGUGCUUUCAAUUUUUUGCGGUUUGCGAAUAACACUUCUCUAUCUCAAGUAUUUUUAUUUUUUUGUAUAAUAAGGUGAAAUAUGAAUCACAUAUCAUGAAAGUGAAAUAUGUUAAUGAAAUACGUUAUUGGGUGUAAACGGAAAUAUUUGCAUUCCUCAACACACUUACUUAUUUGAACAGUGGCGAUGAUUAAAUCUAGUUCUCAUUAGAGAAAUACAUAGCAAAAAAAUAUGCUCUACCCCCGAGUUUAAAAUGCUAUUACAAAAAUAAGUAAAAUGAAGUUCGAGUGUACAAAAAAAAAAAUCAAAAGAUGCACAGAACUUCUAACUCAGCUGACUAGAAUCAUUUAUCUUUUCUAGAAUUUGAAUUGAAAUUCUCUCUCGUUCAAUACUGCUCAAUUACUAUUUAGUACUACGAUCUGGUGGUAUUCUUCUUCGCUUAGAAGUGAGAGGUAUUAGGUUCGAAUCUCGUGAAUGACGAAUUUGAUACCAAAUUAGAGUGUUCAUUGUGUAGUUUAGUCGAACUCUUGCUCGCCUCUAGUGUAAAAUGUAAAUAUUGAUGUACUCAAAUACUGCUCAAUUAGUAGAGAAAAGAGAAAAACGAGAGGCCCAAAAAAGCCCAUAGUACACCCGUAGAUUACUAAACGAGACAAGGCCCAAAAGAAACACCAGCGAAGAGGCCCAAAGAAAAAACAGCCGGAAGGAGGCCAGACCAAUCAGAAUAAAGGGAAAAAAAUGAAAAAAUAAAUAAGAAAAAAGGGUCACCGACAGGACUCGGGAGGACGAAAGCAGAGUUCCAAUCUCUGGAGACUGGAGAGAUCGAAGAAGCUCAAGGGAAAUCACUAAUCUCUCAGGUAGUUACUUAACAAAUCAUAAUUAAGGACAGGGUUUUAGAUCUAAUUAGAUAAUUAAGUGCCACUUAAUUAUUCCGAGUGGAAAGUGUGUGUAAGUGAAGAAGUCCGAGAUCAGAGAUCUGCUGCGAGAUAUCUCCAAUAUCCCCUUUUGGAGACGACAAUGGCGCUUCGUCUUCCGUUUGCCGCGUUUUCUCUGGUCCUCCUCAUCGUCUUCCCUCCGCUGCUUCUCGACGCCAAAACCCUCAAACGCGACAGUAAGUCCUCGACUCCUCACACCUCUCUCUCUCUCUCUCUCUCUCUUUCUGCGAAUGUGAUUGGGGAAUUAUGGAAAUGGGUGGUUUUUUGUGACAGUGAAAGCACUGAACGAGAUCAAGGCUUCGCUGGGGUGGAGAGUGGUGUACGCCUGGGUAGGAGACGAUCCGUGCGGAGACGGCGACCUUCCGCCGUGGUCCGGUGUCACUUGCUCCACUCAAGGCGAUUACCGAGUCGUCACCGAGUUGUAAGAACACCACUUCUUCCACCUUCCCUUCGAUUUCGCUCCAAAGUUUUUAGCUUUAACUUAAAAUUACGUAUUUAUGUGUUGUUUAUUGUUUUGCAAAUUUGCAGGGAGGUUUAUGCAGUGUCAAUUGUUGGGCCUUUUCCUACGGCUGUCACCAAUCUCUUGGAUCUCACUAGGCUGUAAGAACACACACCUCUUCAAUCUACUGAUAUUUAAUUUAUCCAAAACUAUAACAAUUAAUACAAAUUGACGUUUCAAAAUCUAUAAAUUUAUCAGAUACAAAUGCAUAAAUCAAUAACCCUCUGGUUGUUUUUAAUUUUUUCAAAACUUAAAAGUUUGAUCUUUGUUUUGAAGAAUCUACUAUAUCUGUAUGUGACUCUGUCUGUGUCACAGGGAUCUCCAUAACAACAAGUUAACCGGCCCUAUUCCUCCGCAAAUCGGACGUUUGAAGCGUCUCAAAAUGCUGUACAGCCCUUUUCUAAUCCUUUUUAGUUCAAGAUAAUUUGUCUUCUGUUCAACUCAUGUGCAUAUUUUUCUAAUAGAAGUCUUCGUUUUUCUGUUUUUGAUCGUUUACUAAUUCUUGUUGCUUCUCAGUAACUUGAGAUGGAAUAAGCUACAAGAUGUCAUUCCUCCUGAAAUUGGUGAACUGAAGAGUUUAACCCAUUUGUGAGUGAAUUCUGUUUCUUUCUUUUACAAUGUAUAUGAAUUUUUCUUGUAAGGGCUAAUUCACCAUGAUUUACUUAAUAAUUCGGCAGGCAUCUUAGCUUUAAUAGUUUUAAAGGAGAAAUCCCGAAGGAGCUUGCUAAUCUUCCUGAGCUUCGCUAUCUGUAUCUGCAAGAAAAUCGCCUUGUUGGGCGGAUUCCUCCAGAACUAGGAACUCUGCAAAAUCUUCGGCACUUGUAUGUUUACAUAACUACUCCUCACACUUUGUCAAGAUAAUGCAUCUGUAUCUGGUUACUAAUGUGUGCCCUUGUGGUGCUGUUUGUUCAUAGGGACGUUGGUAACAAUCAUUUGGUGGGUACUAUUAGGGAACUCAUACGUAUUGAGGGCUGCUUUCCCGCUUUGCGUAACCUGUAAGUUAGUCCAAGUUGGCGAAUACAUAAUUAUCUCUACCUCAAUAGUAUAAAUGACAUGGUAACUGAAGUGAAUCUUUUUGCAACUGGGGUAUCUAGUUACCUAAACAACAACUAUCUUACCGGAGGAAUUCCAGCACAGCUUGCAAGCUUGUCCAAACUGGAAAUACUGUAUGUCUUACUCCCCUCUCUCCGUUCCUGUCCCGAUGGGCUGUUUCUAAUCUUGAGUUGAGCAUCAUCAAUUUGGAUUGGUUUCAUUACAUUUUGACCUGACACGAAGCUUGUUGGGUUGAUUAUUUUGUUGGUUACAGGUACCUAUCUUACAACAAGAUGUCUGGGAUAGUUCCAUUAGGACUUUCCCAUAUUCCGAGACUGACGUACUUGUGAGUUCCUUUUUACGACAUUUCUACUCUUUGCGUUUGUGCUCGACUAAUUGGUGUUUAGGGGGUAGUUUCAUCAAAGAUCAAGGGCUUGCCUCCUUUUUUAUACGGUCAACUUGUACUCUGGAAAGUAAACAGCCUUGAUGAAGGAUCUACCCAUUACUGCGUUAGAUUAAGGAAAAUUAAUGUGCAGUUUCAUUCAUUUCUUGUUCGGGUUUUUAUCAAAUUUAGGUACUUGGAUCACAACCAGUUUUCAGGAAGAAUUCCUGAUGCCUUCUACAAACACCCGUUCUUGAAAGACAUGUGAGUUUCUUUGUCUCCGGAACUUGGAAACUUCGAAUUACUAAAACUAUGCAGUAAUGUGUUUGAUACUUUGGUCAAUUGUUUUCUCACAGGUAUAUUGAAGGGAAUGCAUUCCGACCAGGUGUAAAACCGAUAGGCAUACAUAAAGUUCUCGAGCUCACAGACACAGAAUUCCUCGUCUAGUCAAGGCAUCAAGCUACUAUUUACUUGUUAACUGGUUGUGUUUUUUACUGCCCAAACAAGGGUUCUUAUAGUCUCGGAACGAAAUGGAAAUAUAUAUCGAUGAAGUUUUGCUGUCACUGAUGAGUUCAUAUGUUGCUCAACUCCGCAAGGAGUUUGCUUAUAUGGUAAAUGGUAGCAGGACUUCACAUUAGUUGCAGAACUAAUGCAUGUUUUAAAUCAUAGUAUAGAAAUCAACCGUUUAAUUUUUGGUAAGAAAAAUCUCGAUACUGCAAGUUUGGUUUAGUUCUUUUUUAUGUGUUGAAGGUUAGGAAUUCGGCAAUCGAACAUUAAAGCUUUGAUUCAAGUCUUGUCAACUUGAAACGAACAUCGAUCUCUGCCUGAAAAUUCUAACUGCAUUUUUAUGGUCUCCAAAACUAUUGACCUUGACCGAGCUGCAACCUGGAGCCUUGUGUACGCCUCCGUUUCUCAUCAAAUUCCUCAUUCAUCUGGCAUCACCAUGCUUCCCUGAAGCUGCAUGCAAAUUCGACAGCAAGACAUAGACGCCGAUGUGACAUUCGAGGUGAAAUGCUCUCCAAGCUACUGCUUAUUCAGAUGAUUUACUUGAACUGGCAACUGGGUAUACUUUGAAUUAUCUCCUUUGCUUCUUCGAAGAACCCGGCACGGCUUAGAAGGUCAACGAUACAUCCGUAGUGUUUGCUUUUUGGCUCAACGUGUAUAUCCUACGCAUUUUAUCAAACACCUUCAUUCCUUCGUCUGCCAUGCCGGAAUAACUGCAAGCAGUAAGCACAGCAAUGAAAGUAACAUCAUCUCCAUGCAUUGCAUUCCAGCAAACCGUGUCUCUUUGCAGCAUUUCAGCAAGCAAUCCUCUAGCUAACUCCAAUCUCCUACAUUUGGCAUACAUGUCAAUCAGACCAGUGGUCAAUCGAACACUCAACCGCAACCGAAGCCGAUUCAAAUACGAGUGAAUCCAAAUCCCAAUAUCCAGAGCUCCCAAAUGAGCACAAGCACAUAAAACACUAACAAAAAUCGCCUCAUCGGGUUCUGUAUCCUAAGCUGCAUCAACUGGAACAAAUAAAGACCUUCCCUGAAACAACCAUUCCGCACAUACCCAGAAAUCAUGGCACCUCAUAUCCCCCUGUCCCUCACCGGAGCUUCAUCAAAGAGCAAUCUCGCCAUGUCAAGAUUGCCCACCUUUGCAAACCCAGAAAUCAUGACCAUCCUUGAAACUGCACUUAGGCUAGGCAUUUCAUCGAACACGUACAGUGCUCUCUUCACGUCAUCAAACGCACAGUACAUAACAAUCAGAGAGUUACCCACAAAGAUAUCAGAAACAAAACCCAAUUUCAAACAGAACCCAUGAACCAAUUCCCCAAGACGACACCUUUGCAUCCUCGCACAAGCCUUUAGCAAAUAAGGGAGGGUAUAAUUACCUGGGCACAUCCCAUUCUGCAACAUCUCGGUAAAUACACCGACGGUCAGGAUGAGUUCGUUUCUGAGCAGUGAAGCUUUUAACAUUGUGUUGUAGAAGCAGAUUGUGGGCUCAUAUGGGCACUCACCUUCAUGCUCAAAUGAUCGAAAUGUUGGUUUACAAUCCUUUGUUCAAGCAAAAGGCCAUUCUAUUGGUUUCACCAGAUAAAAAGGAAUCUGAUGAAGGCAUCCCCAAGAAUGCUUUCAUAGCUCAGUUGGUUAGAGCACCCGUUUAGUAAGCGGGAGGUCUUGAGUUCAACUCUCAAUGAAAGCAUGUAAGUUGAUUUUUAAAUAAAACUAAUGAAAAAUGUUUUAAUUUUUUUUAAUGAUAAAUACAAAAUAAAGGGUAAAGUAAAUAGUACCAUAAUUAAAUUUUUAGUAUAAAAAUAUAAUUUUUCGUUAAAAUGAACAAUACCGAAAACUUUUCGUUAAAGUUUUUUUUUUCUUUUCCUUUUUGUGUUGGACCUUUGGAGCUCUGUUUUGUCUUGUUUCUGCAUUGGGCUCUCUUUGUUUUUUACCACAUUUGUGGUAGCAAAAAUUCGUUCAAUUUUCAGUGGGAAAUUUAGUUAAUGAAUCUUCAAUAUCUAAGUCAGUUUAUUUGAAAAUAAAAAGAGUUUAUGGCUUAACGGGAUAGCCCAAAACUUAAUAUUAAUUGAUGGAAAAUGAGGUAUUUGUAGAACUAGGGUUGGCCAUAUGUGUAGGGUGUGUCGAAAUUCAGUUGGCCAAGAUAUGUCAUCCAUUGGAUAAAGUAUGAAAGAACUGUCCCAGAGAUAUUAUUGAAUUAUAUUGUGAUUCCUUAUUUGAUUGGGUUGGUCUUCAAUUAGGAAAGCAUAAAGAUAAGAUUUGGUUAUUAAUGAUAUCUUUAAUACAUUGGGUAAUGCUAUUCUUACCACAUUAAUAUACCACAUUAGUGUACCACAUUAUGUGGCAUCUGAUGUGGCUGUCCACAUCAUCUAAAUUAAUUAUAAUUUAAAUUAAAUUAAAAACCAUUUAAUAAACCAAUAAUAAAUAAAUAAAUCUAGAAUUAAAUGGUGUUUGUGGCAUACGAGGAGUCUUCUCCUUCCUUCCUUCCUUCCUUCAUUCCCCAUUGCUUCUUCUCCCGUUUCUUCUUCCACGCCAUUUUUUUGUUUCAGCCCAGAUUUUUUCACAUUUGCAGGCAAGCAUUUGAGCAAAGUAGCAUAGUGUUGCUGGUGAAGAUAUCAAUUAAUAUAUAAGAAGUUGACAACAGCAGCAAACAGGUCAUCUGGGCACACUGUAUAAUCUCCUACGAAGAUUCGGUAGGUUCGGUUUUUGGUGCAGUGAUGAUAAUCUUCUAAAUCAAACCAUAAAUUGUGGAAAUUUAAGACUAACUAAUUCUUAAUCAUGCAAUAGGACCCUCUAGAACCCACUGCAUAAUGAUCAGUUAAGUGAAACGUAUGAUGAAGACAUGUCUGCCUAUAAAAUGUUUCAUGCAACUCAUUGAAAAAUAAUGGUAAAUGCUUACCAAUAAUCCAAAUAGGGGAGCGUCGAUGAAUCUUUAUCGUAUGAGAUUUAGUUGAAACAAAAAAAUGGCGUGGAAGAAGAAAUGGGAGAAGAAGCAACGGGGAAGGAAGGAAGGAGAAGACUCCUCGUAUGACACAAACACCAUUUAAUUCCAGAUUUAUUUAUUUAUUAUUGGUUUAUUAAAUGGUUUUUAAUUUAAAUUAAAUUAUGAUUCAUUUAGAUGAUGUGGACAGCCACAUCAGAUGCCACAUAAUGUGGUACACUAAUGUGGUAUAUUAAUGUGGUAAGAAUAGCAUUACCCUUCAUUUAGAUGAUGUGGACAGCCACAUCAAAUGCCACAUAAUGUGGUACACUAAUGUGGUAUAUUAAUGUGGUAAGAAUAGCAUUACCCCUAAUACAUUUGACCUUUCCCCUUGUUAAGCUUGGUGGGAUUGUAGUCACAGGCUCAUGAUCAAGAGGGUAGUACAAUAAAUGUGGGACGUGCUAAUUUAAUGGGAGCAUCUUCGUUACUUGUCGCUCCAAAAAAUUUCAAAUUAUCUUUUGCUCCAAAAGAUUUUCAUAUAUUUUUAUCAAUCAUGUAAAAUAUCAAUUUGUGACAAUGCGAGUAAAAUUAUUAAACCUAAAUUGCGAUAUCACACAAAAACCCACUAUUUCGGUUAAACUUAAUGAUUACUACAACAAAAUUAUCUCAAAUUGGAUAAGAUAUAUAGUAGGAUAUAUAAAAGAGAUUUUCAAAAUCUUUAAACUCUGAGUGAUACGUACAUGAACAAACACUGGAUUUUGACAAACAAACAAAUUACCCUACCUAGAUUUAUCCUUAUCCAUAUUAUGUAUUUCAAAAAAAGCACUAUAUAUAAACGUGAUUUUUCUCCCAGAUUUACUGUGUGUGAAAAAAUGGAGGUUAGAGGAGGAGCCAUAUUUUUUAUUUGUGUAUCGUGGUUUUCAUUAGGUUUAGCUGAGUACGUUGAAGUGAGAGUCAAGGGAGUGACUUCCAUAGCCACCACAGAUGAUAACUUCAUCUGUGCAACUUUGGACUGGUGGCCUGCUGACAAAUGUGACUACGAUCAGUGCCCAUGGGGGAAGGCUGGCAUUUUUAAUCUGGUUUGUAGCGUCUUUUUCUCCAUUGAACACUGCUUAACUUCUUAUUGUUAACGAGUCUUUUCUCGUUAUGUUUUCUAGUCGUACUCUUUCAUCUUCUAAAUAAACAAAUUGGUGAGGAUCUUAAACUUUGCUCGUAUUUGCAGGAUUUGAGUAACAAGAUCUUGCACAAUGCUGUCAAGGGUAAGUGUUUCCGAGUAACACUUUGAGAAUUCGAUUAUCGAAACUCUGACGUUUAGUUCUGCUCGCCUAAUCCGUGAUUGGCUUCACUACUUUCGUUUUAAAAUUAGAAAACGAUGUGUUGAUGAAGGACUGAAUUUGUUGGAAAAUUUUCAGCUUUCAAUCCAAUGAGAAUCAGAGUUGGAGGCUCAUUGCAAGAUCAGGUCAGUUAUGGUGUAGGGUUUGGAGACAAAUCAUGCAACCGUUUCAAGAAAAAUGAUUCGGGAUUGUUCGGAUUCAGCGAAGCUUGCCUUCACCAUAAAAGAUGGGAUGAGCUCAAUCAGUUCUUUAACAAAACAAAGUAUGAUAAUUUCUCCAUAAAAAGCAAUGCAGGAAAUAAGAUGGCACUUUGAUUUACUAAACACUCACACGUUCAUUUUUUGCAGAGCUAAGGUCACAUUUGGUUUGAAUGCCUUGCAUGGGAAGAAAGUGUCUUCUGAAGACAAAAGUCUUCGAAUCGGUGAUUGGAACGCUCAAAAUUCUCGUGAUCUGAUGGAGUACACAAUUGCAAAGGGAUACGAGAUUGAUUCAUAUGAGCUUGGUAAAUGACUUUUGUUUUGUUUUUUUAAAUGCGGACUUUUUUUAGUAGUUAAUCGCUCUGUAGAAGGAUUGUGAGUUCGAUAUAUGUAACUGUUGCUCAUUUGACUGCAAAUGCCAACAGGGAAUGAGCUAUCCGGGAGUGGAGUAUCUGCAAGAAUAGAAAGUGAGCAAUAUGCAAAAGACAUGACAAAGCUCAAAGAAGUUGUGACAGAAUUGUACCCCGAUGCCUCAAAUCGACCUAAGGUUUUAGGCCCUGCUGGAUUUUACGACAAGAAAUGGUUCGAAAACUUCCUGCAGGCCACGGGGCCAGGCGUUGUUGAUGGUGUAACUCAUCACUUAUACAAUCUUGGUGCAGGUAAUACAAAUAUUACUAAUCAUCAAUAAGUAUUGAUCAUUGGCAGAAAAAUGUCUGAUUUGGGGAAAAUCUUAUGAUUUUUUUCUGGUGUUCAUCCCGAGCUUAUCGACAAGGUUCAAGAUCCAUUUUUUCUGUCAGAGAUAGCUCAAACAUUGUACGACUUGUCGAAUACAAUCCAGCAGUUUGGGCCAUGGUCAGAAGCUUGGGUUGGGGAAGCAGGUGGAGCUUAUAACAGUGGUGGCAAAGAUGUCUCACAUACUUUUGCUGAUGGCUUUUGGUAAACACAUUUUUUGCCUUUACAAUUUGGGAACUGAAUUUUGCACUCCUUUGUUCUCUCCGUGUACAUUAUGGAGUGACAGAAAAAACGAGAGUGUGAAAAUCGAUACCCGAAAAUCUAUGAGCAAAUAUAAACAAAUGUGACUUUGAUUGAAAUAGGUAUUUGGACCAGCUUGGCAUGACAUCAACCUACAACCACAAGGUUUACUGCCGACAAGCCUUGAUUGGAGGGAACUAUGCUCUGCUUAACACCACCACAUUCAUCCCUAAUCCCGAUUAUUACGGGUUCGAAUCUCCGCCUUAAAUUUGAAAUGGUUAUCAAACAGUACCGAAGUUCUUAAACUUUUCUAAAUCUUUUCUGUUGCUUUUUCCCCUACCAGUGCACUCUUGUGGCAUAGACUAAUGGGAACUAGGGUUCUUUCCACCAUGAACUUUGGCUCUCCUUAUCUGAGAGCAUAUUGCCAUUGCACAAAGAAUCAGGUACCUCAAACCCUAAUUAGCCUUUCCUUUAUUAACAUUUAUAGCAUCUUAACAUAUUUUGUUACAGAAAGGGGUCACACUACUUCUGAUCAACAUGUCCAACGCCACCACCUUCGACGUCGCUGUUCUCCCCGACUAUAAUUUGUACCCGAGGCAAAUACUUACGACCAGAAAGUACGGUGCUAAUGAUGAACCAGAAAGAGAAGAGUAUCAUUUGACACCAGAAGGUGGCAACAUUCAAAGUGAUGUGGUAUUGCUCAAUGGAACUCCUUUGAAACUCACAAACUCAUCAGACAUUCCGGAAAUGAAACCAAAACUCGUUGAUCCCACUUCGACGAUCAGCGUCGCAGCGGAUUCAAUCGUCUUUGUAUCUAUAAAAAAUUUCCAUGCCCCGGCCUGCGCUUAAUCGAAUAUCUUUCUUACGUUUUUUUUUUGGUUCCACCUUUCUUUGUUCUUUAGAUUAAAGGUUUCAAGUAUUGGUAGGGUUAAUUUGCAGUGCCUUUUUUAUGUAAUUUUAAGUACUUUUUUCGAAACAGAAGAGUAGCAUAAACUUUUCAUGGAAUUUUUCUUAAGAAUUCCGAAAGCUAAGAAUCAUUGCAAAGAAGAAAUACUUUCCUUUCACCAGGAAACCCUAACUUGUGUGCAAAGUAACCUCAAGCUUUCUUGCCAGCAUUGCCCUAAAACUAGCCUAUGAACUAGCUUUAAACAAGCAUCUCUUCUCUAAUCUUAUCCUUCAAAUAUCCUUCAAAUAAACACCAAACUAUGAGCAACAAAUCCUUAAUUCACAGAGAAGAAAAUUCGGGGCUCGUUUCUUCGGAAAGAAUAGAUUGAUCAACCAAAUAAGGUAAUUCGCCCCUUAACCCCGAAAAUAUUCGACUUUGUUUCGAUUAUGUAAUUAUGAUUACUAUUUGUAACUAGAGGAUCAUAUCCGUUUAUAUUUGACUAAUCACUAUUGUUAGGAUGAGAUUCUCCGGCGCAGGACGAGAAGACUGAAGAGUCCGGCAGCGUCUACGACCUGCAGAAAACUUAGUUUUUCAAAGGUAAUACAUGGCUCUUUGUCUCUGCAUAAUAUACAAAUUUUCUGGUUUGGAAACAACUUUUCUCAGUGGUUUAAGCUAUUUCUUGCAGAGAAAAGGAAACCCGAACUGGUUCCAGAGACAGCUCUAAGCAAAAAUGAGUCAAGACUACGAUGCUAACAGAGCAAUGGAGCAUGCAACUGCGGUGGCAGCUGCUGCAUUUGCCAUUAAAUCAAUUGAAGAUUCGGCCAUCUCUGACAAGGAAAUGGCGGGCAAUGAGCGUAAACCAAAUUUGGUGAGGAUCACGAGCGGAAAGGAAGAAACGGCAAUUUCAAAGCCGGAACCUGGAAUAUUUUCCAAAAUAUUCUCAGGUAAAAAUAUCUAAUAACAUUGUUAACGACCCUAAACACGGAUUUUCCGGUUUUUAAGCCAGAACCAAGAUUUUCUGUAUUAGGUGCAGGUUCGAGGAAAAGUACUCCAGCACAAGAAGAUCCAGAUGGUAAGGUGCCAAUAAGCAUUGCCACAACCGGGAAGAGCCCAGAAAAGGCUGUCCUUCCUGACAGUAUAAAACGUCAAACUGCACCACCGCCGCCACCACCACCACCACCCCCCCUUCGACCCCCAUCUAUCAAGAGAACUCCAACUUUUGAUGAUAAACGGUCGAGCAGCGCUGGCGGUGUAAAACCUGAAACUGCAGCAGCAAAACCCAAUUUGUCUGCCACUACGAAACCCGAAAGUCCUUGGGAUGAAACCAAGAAGCCGACUUCAACAGGACCUGGAACAAGGAAAACACAAGCAGAUAUUUGGGAAGAAACCAAGAUUGCUAGACUCAAAGCAAGGUAGCUACUCAUCAUCGGCGAUCAUUUUGCAUAAUUUAUAGUUCAAACAUUCUGUCACAUUCAGGUUCUGACAGCCAUUAUUGUCAGGUAUGAGAAGCAAAAGGCCACAAUACUUGCAUGGGAGAACAACAAGAAGACGAAAUGCAGAAAACGUCUCGAUAAAAUAAAGGUUUUGCUUCAUUUUAUUUUCAUAUACAAUCAAAAUUAAGAUCAUGAACUAAUAAUCCACUUAUUGGAACAGCAAGGUGAAGUAGCGGAAAAAAGAGAAAAAGCACUACGAAAGUUCAGCGCAGAGAUGGAAUAUAUCAAAGAGAUUGCAGACGGAGCUAGGGCACAGGCAGCAGAGAGGCACAGAAAUGGUGUCUUGAAGGUGAAACAAAAGGCAAAUGAAAUGAGAAGAACAGGGAAAGCUCCUACAACAUGCUUCUGCUUCUAAUUAGACCAAUUACUCACCUACUUUCGAGUGUAAAUAUUUUUAUCAAGAUACUGUAUUUUCACAGAGAGUCAAUCACAAUAAGAUGGCAGUUCCACCGCAUGGUUAGCUGCCCCAUAUUUAAAACGAGUAUAAAUAAAACACAAAGGAAUUUCCCAAUUACAAACAAACUAAUAGACACUCAUUUCAUAUGGUAAAUUACACUUCAAAGUCGUAUAUUCAUUUUCUCCGGAUUUCAAAUAAGCAUGUAUGUAAUCCACUACGAUAUAUUUCAAUACCUCAUCUAAAAUCACUUGAGAGCAAUAAUCUUGAGAGUACUCAAGCUUGGGCAGAAGGAAAUCAGCUACUUCAAACAAAUAAUGAUAGUUACAGUAGUGACAAUCGUUUAGACACAGAAGUCGGAACUUACAAAUUACCCAAGAAACUUCCCACUAAACUCUUGAAACUUCCACCAUCAUACGCACGAGAUCUGAGAAGGAUGUGGAUAGCAAAGACUCAGGUUGAUGGGUCACGAGGUUAUCUCCUUUACCAGCCUCUCCAAAAUAGGGUAUGCAAAGUACAAUAACAAGAACGAUGGGAUUGCAAAAACCACUGUGAGUAACAAGUAGAUUGCCAAAACUAUAGCACUGCCAGGUAUUGCAAAAAAUGCAAUCACGAGAAACAAUAUGACUAAUGGGAACUUGGAUGUAAUGUGAAUGAAGCAAUCCAAAGACUUGUGCAGGGAGAAUAGAUGCCGCUCCACACGGCCACCUCUAUCAUCACGGUUAUACCUUGAUAGUGAAGGACAACUAGAAUGGUUCCUCCUCAGGUUACCAUUGCCAGCUUGAUUUCCUAUAGCGAAACUUGCUCUUGGAGAACCAAUUUGUUGGUUUUCCCCACUGAUUGCAGGAACAAACUUUACCCUAUCACCAUUAAAGCUCUCAACCAUCCACAGAAGGAAGAAAUUCUUGCGAGGAAACUUUAGAUUACCCUUAUAAAUCAGCCGCAAAGACAACAGGUAGCACCAAGGGCAAGAAAUGAAGAAUGGUAUCUUAAACUUUUGAGAGGAAAACUUUACAGUGGCCCAUUGAAGCCCCAAGACACAGUUUCUGCACAGGGUAUGGCCGCACCAUAAGACAUGGGGCACAUUCUCGACAAUGUUGAAAGAUUCCAGGCAUAUAGGGCAUUCUAACCCUUCCUCUCGGCUUGAAUUCGAGCAGACUUCAUCAUCCGAGGAGUCCAAGCAUACCCGACUUGGCUCUGAUGAGCUUCUUUUUAGUCCAAUGCUUGUGAUGGCAUUUGAAGCAAAACCCCACAUCCUAACAAACAAAUCAGGCCGAUACAAACGAAGGGGUUAAAUGAUAAAACCCUAAAGAACAUGCAACAGCAUUCGGCCAAGAAACAUGAAUGUUCAAAAAUCCUUUAAGUCCUGUCAACAACAAGCUAGUUUAUAGAGAAAUUCUAGGAUAAACGACAACAUAAAAGAAAUAUAGUUUGUAUUUCCACAAAUUUGAUUAUCCUUUUGCAAUGUGAAUAAGUAAUUUAUUCAACAAACAUAGUAUGAAUUACAGCAAGCAUGCAUUGGAAUCCCCAAAACAAUAGACCAAUCCAACACCAAAAUGCCUUAAUGACGAAAAAUAUGUCCGAAUCGAGACACCGCAAUUCUUUCACAAUAGCCUUUUCACAGUAGAGUCCUUAAUACACCAGUUCAACUGGACACCUUAUAAUUUGUUUAAUCACUUUCCAUAUACUGGGGAACAUGAAAUCCUCUACCAUUCUCUAAGCUUAACAUUAUAAUUCUUAAUUUCUGCACAAUACAGCAUAAGUUUACCAAAAAUUACCCAAAAACCCCAAUUAAGACGUCACAGUUGAAUUCUGAUGGAGAAACCAAAGCGCUAGGAUAGAACUACCCAACAAACAAUUAAGCAAAAUAUGAUUUGGGUCGCAAGGAAUUUGAACGGUGACACCGUUGACAAGCGAAAUUAACACGCUUUUACAAUCAACCGAACAAACAAUCAUUGCAAUUCAACACCUCAAUGCGGCAAAUUUUUACGUAGAUUCGAAUCGAUGAUAAAAUAAAAUAAAAAUUAAGACAUAAAAGGACGAUUUGGAGGUCAAAAUCUCACCUUUUAACGAGAUUGACUGAAAUUCCAAGGGGAUUUGGAAAGAAAGCGGCAGAUGAUGAACAAGCGAGCAGCUCGGUUCCUCUGUAUCUCCGAUCGUCGUAGCUGCCUCGCGUGUUAAAAAAUGGCAAAGAUGCCGUGGAGAAUGUAACGGUGUUAAAAAUGCGGGUAGGUGCCAGGUGGCGAAGCCCGUGUCACAAGGAUUCUGGUUAGCUCUUUUGUUGGGUGAAAAGAGAUCUUAUCCGAAUCUCUUUCAUCAAGGUCACCAGAUUAAAUGAUCCGGACCUUUAAAAUUUCAUUCAACGAUAAAAAAUUAUUAUAAUUUUUAAAUUAUCAAAACAAAUAGAUCGUUUGAUGAAAUUUCAAAGGCCGGAUCAUUUGAUCCGAUGACCUUGAUGUCCUUAUUGGAAAACAAAAGCGCAAACAGAGUGGCCGUUGGCCAAUAGGAGAAUAACAAAUUAAAUAUUUUUUAGUGAAAAAAUAGAUUAAAUAUUUUUAUUUUUAAACAAAAAUAAUAAUUAUUCAAUGCUAUUUGGUGUGUGUUCCCAAGAAAAAUCAAUGUUUUGUUGAGCAGACCUGAUAUAAGUAUAGAUGGGUUGGUUUGAUGUGUCUAACUAUCACCUAAAUCUGAUUAGAUUAUGUUUAGAGACACCAAUUAGGCAUUGGACAUUGAUUUUAUUGACUUGGAACGAGGGAAGUUAUUGAAUCGAAUAAGUUAUGUAUUGUCGAUAAAACAAAUGUGUAUAUUAGUUGGUUCUUGUUAAUCAAUUUAAUUUCUUUUAGGUAUCUGAUUACGAAUUACAAUGUAAAAUUUAUUAUAUUAUAUUAUGCACGUAUUACCUAACUCAUAAAAUUUAAGAAAUAGUAACAAUUCCAAGUAAAUAAACAUGUUUGUUAAUAUAGCAAAAUAUUUUUAUCUUAUGAGGAAGGAUUAACUAUGGGCCUCUUCUAAUAUUAUAGAAAAAAAUAUUAAUAAGAUAAUAAUUGGAUUAUUUAACAAAUUUAGAAAUGAGAUCUAUGAAAUAUUUAAGGGAUAUUUAAUAUAUUUACACAACAAAGAUAAGUAUUUCAAAUUACAAAAAUUAAUUUAUGCAAACACCACUUUACUUAUUUAGCAAGAAAUACAAAAAUACAUAUUGAAAUACAGAGGGCUCCACACAGAGGAAGGGAGGCCCAGGACCAUAAGUCCAUUCUAGCCCAAAACAAGCCGGAAAACAAAAAGAAGGCCCAAAGUAGCCCAAAAUAGAAUACAGAAAAUCAGAAACAAACUAUGAUCAUCAACCCAAGAAGACGAAAGAACUUCCAUGCAACGAGAAUAUUGCUCGUGGCGAUACAUCAAUCGAAUCAUACUAUACUUUGUGACAAGUAUGCACUGCAUGAUUGACUUGCAUUGUCACUUUAGUGGUAUCUCAGUGUGUGUAAGUUUCUCGAAGUGAGCUUAAUUAACUUCACGUAAUUAGUGAUUAAUGAUAAUCAUCAGAUUAGCCCUUCCAGAAACCCUGAGCCAUCUUCAGAUAGCCCCCAACUCCACCACCACCAUCCUCUUCACCGUCAUCCUUUUUAGUGGGCUUCUUCGGGCCCCCACCGCUCUCAUUUGAAUCAUUACUUUUCUUCUUCUUCUCCUCAGAAGCUGAAGAAUGAGAAACAGAAGUUUUGGGGCCACCUCCCUCACCUUCUUGGCCGCCGCCACCAUACUUGCGAAGCAUAUCCUCUGCCUUGCUGAGGUAACUCCCGAUGCCUUCUUUGUCGUCGAAACCGCCGUACGCAGAGGCAGCACCUAGAAUGGUACUGGCAGCCUUGCAAACCUCAGCUUUGUCGAACUUGUCCCCUUUAUUAGCGCCCGCCACAAUCUUCGCACUCGACAUCACCUCCCCCAUUGAUGGCUUUUCACCUUUCUCCUUCGCUCCUCCCGCUUUCGCUUUCUCCGCCCCCACACCACCAACAUGUUUCCCGUCAGUGCCCACUUUCCGCUCACGAUGUUCACUCUGCUCAUCCUUUUCAUCCCCAUAAGUUGACUUUGAUGGUUUAGCAGCAACAGCUUUUUUCUCGAGGUAUUGAUCAUCCUCCACAUCCCCAUCUUUUUCAGGUUUCGCGCCUUUGGCUGCUUUCCCGGCAGAACCCGAGCUAGGUUUUUUUUCGCGAUGUUCCUGAUCAUCUUCAUCUCCAUAACCCUCAGAACCAUAAGCUUGUUUCGCAGCGGCCUUUGGUUUGCCAGGUUUUCUUUGGCCAUAUUCAUCCUGAUCAUCUUCUCCCCCAUACUCUUCACUUGAACCGUAAGCCGCUUUCACAGCAGCUUUCGGCUUGUUGGGUUUCCUCUCGCCGUAUUCAUCUUCAUCUUCCGUCGAACCGUAAGUCGCCGCCGCUUUCGCAACGGUUUUCGGCUUGUUGGAUUUUCGCUCGCCGUAUUCAUCUUCAUCUUCCGUUGAACCGUAAGCCGUUUUCGCAGCGGCUUUCGGCUUGUUGGGUUUUGUCUCGCCGUAUUCAUCUUCAUCUUCCCUCGAACCGUAAGCCGCUUUCGCAGCCGCUUUCGGCUUGUUGGGUUUUCUCUCGCCGUAUUCAUCUUCAUCUUCCGUCGAACCGUAAGCCGCUUUCGCAGAGGCUUUCGGCUUGUUGGGUUUUCUCUCGUCGUAUUCAUCUUCAUCUUCCGUCGAACCGUAAGUCGCCGCCGCUUUCGCAACGGUUUUCGGCUUGUUGGAUUUUCGCUCGCCGUAUUCAUCUUCAUCUUCCGUUGAACCGUAAGCAGUUUUCGGAGCGGCUUUCGGUUUGUUGGGUUUUGUCUCGCCGUAUUCAUCUUCAUCUCCCGUUGAACCGUAAGCAGUUUUCGGAGCGGCUUUCGGCUUGUUGGGUUUUGUCUCGCCGUAUUCAUCUUCAUCUUCCCUCGAACCGUAAGCCGCUUUCGCAGCGGCUUUCGGCUUAUUGUGGUUUCUCUCGCCGUACUCAUCUUCAUCUUCCGUCGAACCGUAAGCUGCUUUCGCAGAGGCUUUCGGCUUGUUGGGUUUUCUCUCGUCAUAUUCAUCUUCAUCUUCCCUCGAACUGUAAGCUGCUGAUGAUUUCGGUUUGCUGGAUUUUCUCUCACCAUGUCGGUCUCGAUCUUCUUCGUCGCCAUACUCUUCGCGAGAACCGCCGUAAGCUGGUUUUAUCUGCCGAUGUUGGCUUUGGUCAUCUUCGUCUACGUACCCUCCUCCAGCAGGUUUCGAUUUGGUCAUAUUUCUCUGGCGGGGUUGACUAUGAGCUCCUUCUUCCUCCUCGUAAUCUUCAGAACCAUGAUGCCGAUCCAUUGAUUAAUUCAAAGAAAAUGUAGCAGUGCCUUGUUAAUUUUUCUGUAAGUGAUGAGAAAUUGAGUAGCUUGUUGGUGAAUAUAUACGCAUGCCUCUCUCGACUUUGUGAAGUACCCGUUUUCAACGGGUUAUUCACAAGCAACUUCUAUUUUGGGUGGUGUUAAUUGAUGGUUCAAUUUUUUCUUAUUCUUCAAUUAUCAUAGAUUGUAGAAAGCCAAAUAUUGGUUGGACACGGGUUUUCUCUGUCGACCACUCAUUUCUGGAGAGAAACUUCGGUAGAGCAGAAAAUCAGCAUGUAUGAUCUCUCGCAUUGAAAUUUAUACUUAUGUUAUGCACUAGAAGUUAUACUUGCAUGGAGCCGGAUGGUACUUGAAUACAGAGAAUUUCUAAUGCUACAAUGUAUUACAAUGGUUGCAUAACUUGCAUUAUUUGAUUAAGCAUGCGAUGCCGUUCAGAGAUUCUAGCAUGUAACAUAACUUGCAUUGUUUCAUUAGACGAUUAGUGUCGCGUAGAGACUCUAACGUGUAACCGAUGUGAUCUCUCCGAUCUUAAGAUUUGGAUACAUCUACUGAUCUACACACAAACACAGUUACUUCAUUUUUUGGGAAAGAAAUACAUACACUGAUACAUAUAAGGACUGGGUCCGAAACAGCACACCCCAAAUCAAAUGCAGACACUCAAACAAACUUUAUCUAACAUCAUAAUUAAGUAAACAACUUAAGCCAAAUUAAGUGAAAGUUCCGGAGGAAUAAGCAUAAUUAACGUUACUUAAUUAGUGAUUAAUUAUGACGAUCGUCACUUCUUCAAGAAACCCUGAGCAACCUUAAGGUAAUCCCCAACCCCACCUGAUCCACCCUCCUCCUCCUCCUCCUCAUCCUCCUUUUUACUAGGUUUCUUCCUAGUCUCAUGCUCUCCGCUCACCGGAUAGUUCUCAUCAUCGUCUCUUCUGUCCUUCCCCAUACUAGACUUAUAAGACUCAGAAGAAUUGUGACUUCCUCCUCCGCCGCUUUCACCGUCACCGCCGCUGCCGUACUUGCGGAGCAUAUCCUCGGCCUUACCAACAUAACUCCCAAGUCCUUCUUUCUCGUCCAGCUUGCCAUAGUGUGCGGCACCGCUUAAGAUGUUACUAGCAGCCUCGGAAACCCUAGCUCUGUCGAUAUUUUCGUCGCCCCCUUUGUUCAUCGAAGAUUUGGCUGCUUCCGCCACAAUCUUUGCACUCGACAUCAGCUCACUCGUCGUCGGUGGCGCACGUCCCGGCUUCCCGUGGUGACCCUCCGUCGCGGACUUUCUCUCGCCGCCGUACUGAUCUUCCUGGUCUUUGUCCCCGUAACCUCCAGACCCGUGGCGACCCUCCAUGGCGGAUUUUCUCUCGCCACCGCACUGAUCUUCCUGGUCUUUGUCCCCGUAACCUCCAGACCCGUGGCGACCCUCCGUGGCGGAUUUUCUCUCGCCACCGUAUUGAUCUUCCUGGUCUUUGUCCCCGUAACCUCCGGAAGAGAAAGCUGCUGAAAGCCGAUCCAUUAAUGAGUGAAGAAAGGUAGAAGUGCUUUUGCUUGCGAGGAGGGUUUGCUAAAACGGGUUGAAGGUGAUGAUAUUUAAUACUGACUUGCUCUUGCUUUAUGGGUGGAUGGAUGGAUAAUUAAAAAUAUUUAUGAUUGUCGGUAGGAAAUAAAUCUGUCGGCAAGA